GAUGAACGCUGGCGGCGUGCCUAACACAUGCAAGUCGAACGGGAGACACUUUCGAGUGUCAAGAGUGGCGCACGGGUGAGUAACACGUAGCUUACCUGCCCCAAACACCGGGAUAACGGGUCGAAAGACCUGCUAAUACCGGAUAAGCUCACGAUGGAGAGCACUGUUGUGAGAAAAGUUCAGGCGGUUUGGGAUGGGGCUGCGGCCCAUCAGCUAGUUGGUAAGGUAACGGCUUACCAAGGCGACGACGGGUAGGGGGCCUGAGAGGGUGAACCCCCACACUGGAACUGAGACACGGUCCAGACUCCUACGGGAGGCAGCAGUGAGGAAUAUUGCACAAUGGGCGCAAGCCUGAUGCAGCGACGCCGCGUGGGCGAAGAAGGUUUUCGGAUCGUAAAGCCCUUUUCUCAGGGACGAGGAAGGACGGUACCUGAGGAAUAAGUGUCGGCUAACUACGUGCCAGCAGCCGCGGUAAAACGUAGGACGCAAGCGUUAUCCGGAAUUACUGGGCGUAAAGCGCGUGUAGGUGGAUAUUUAAGUCACUUGUGAAAGCUCCCGGCUAAACUGGGAGAGGUCAGGUGAUACUGGAUGUCUGGAGGAUGUCAGAGGGAAGCAGAAUUCCGGGUGUAGUGGUGAAAUGCGUAGAGAUCCGGAGGAAUACCAGAGGCGAAGGCGGCUUCCUGGGACAUACCUGACACUGAGACGCGAAAGCACGGGGAGCGAACGGGAUUAGAGACCCCGGUAGUCCGUGCCGUAAACGAUGCAGACUAGAUGUACGUUCCUCUACGGGGGGAUGUGUGUCGGAGCCAACGCGGUAAGUCUGCCGCCUGGGGAGUACGGUCGCAAGGCUAAAACUCAAAGGAAUUGACGGGGGCCCGCACAAGCAGCGGAGCGUGUGGUUUAAUUCGAGGCUACGCGAAGAACCUUACCUGGGUUUGACGUCCCACGAACGAAGGUGAAAGCCGGAGGUUCCCGCAAGGGGCGUGGAGACAGGUGCUGCAUGGCUGUCGUCAGCUCGUGUCGUGAGAUGUUCGGUUAAGUCCGAAAACGAGCGCAACCCUCGGUUCGUGUUACAAGUGUCACGAACGACUGCCUGCGGCAAGCAGGAGGAAGGUGGGGAUGAUGUCAAGUCAGCAUGGCCUUUAUAUCCAGGGCUACACACACGCUACAAUGGUCGGUACAGUGGGUCGCGAAGCCGCGAGGUGGAGCCAAUCCUAAAAAGCCGAUCGUAGUUCGGAUUGCAGGCUGCAACUCGCCUGCAUGAAGUUGGAGUUGCUAGUAACCGCACAUCAGCGCGGUGCGGUGAAUACGUUCCCGGGCCUUGUACACACCGCCCGUCACGUCAUGAGAGUUCGUCAUGCCUGAAGUCGGGAAGCUAACCGCAAGGAGGCUACUGCCGAAGGCAGGGCGGAUGAUUGGGACGAAGUCGUAACAAGGUAGCUGUAGCGGAAGC
This 1453-nucleotide ribosomal RNA is filed under the name uncultured Chloroflexota bacterium. Its description in RNAcentral is "bacterial SSU rRNA". It matches the Rfam family "Bacterial small subunit ribosomal RNA". The record is from RNAcentral. Lineage: Bacteria; Bacillati; Chloroflexota.